RNAcentral lists this ribosomal RNA (324 nucleotides) under Cercomonas sp. RNAcentral's name for it is "SSU rRNA". The stretch from base 105 to 324 matches the Rfam family "Eukaryotic small subunit ribosomal RNA", at positions 734 to 955 of the family's 1831-position model. The record is from RNAcentral. RNAcentral also lists the same sequence under 2 other names. Lineage: Eukaryota; Cercozoa; Cercomonadida; Cercomonadidae.
GAUUUCUGGUUCGGCGCACUUGGCCCGUCUCGGUUUACGGGAUUGCGUGCCGGUGUGCGCCAUCCAUCCUUCGGGAAAUACACAGCUACCCUUCACUGGGCCGGUUGUGCUAUCCCGAUCUUUUACUUUGAAAAAAUUAGAGUGUUUAAAGCAGGCUUGCGCUAUGAAUACAUUAGCAUGGAAUAAUAAUUUAGGACUUUGGUCUUAUUUUGUUGGUUUCUAGGACUAAAGUAAUGAUUGAUAGGGACAGUUGGGGGUGCUAGUAUUCAGCGGCCAGAGGUGAAAUUCUUGGAUUCGCUGAAGACUAACUUAUGCGAAAGCAUU